UUUUAUAAAAAAUAAGAAUGUAUUUUGUCAACUGUAUAAGUUAUGUUUAUUUCUUCAGUGUUUGACUCCCAAGACAUAUGGGAACUGAUUUAGACAGGAGAUUGGCUUAGCUUUUAUUGCUCUGUGUGUGAUAUCAAUAAAUAUCUGUGAGAUUCA
Molecule: long non-coding RNA, 156 nt
Organism: Sander lucioperca (pikeperch)
Lineage: Eukaryota; Metazoa; Chordata; Actinopteri; Perciformes; Percidae
Exons: 3
Source: RefSeq, a predicted model, not a curated record